RNAcentral lists this ribosomal RNA (782 nucleotides) under Pseudomonas aeruginosa. Its description in RNAcentral is "bacterial SSU rRNA". It matches the Rfam family "Bacterial small subunit ribosomal RNA", at positions 1 to 762 of the family's 1533-position model. Lineage: Bacteria; Pseudomonadati; Pseudomonadota; Gammaproteobacteria; Pseudomonadales; Pseudomonadaceae. The record is from RNAcentral.
AUUCGAGUUGCAAACUGCUUUUUUAAAUUUUUGUUUCUGCUCAGAUUGAACGCUGGCGGCAGGCCUAACACAUGCAAGUCGAGCGGAUGAAGGGAGCUUGCUCCUGGAUUCAGCGGCGGACGGGUGAGUAAUGCCUAGGAAUCUGCCUGGUAGUGGGGGAUAACGUCCGGAAACGGGCGCUAAUACCGCAUACGUCCUGAGGGAGAAAGUGGGGGAUCUUCGGACCUCACGCUAUCAGAUGAGCCUAGGUCGGAUUAGCUAGUUGGUGGGGUAAAGGCCUACCAAGGCGACGAUCCGUAACUGGUCUGAGAGGAUGAUCAGUCACACUGGAACUGAGACACGGUCCAGACUCCUACGGGAGGCAGCAGUGGGGAAUAUUGGACAAUGGGCGAAAGCCUGAUCCAGCCAUGCCGCGUGUGUGAAGAAGGUCUUCGGAUUGUAAAGCACUUUAAGUUGGGAGGAAGGGCAGUAAGUUAAUACCUUGCUGUUUUGACGUUACCAACAGAAUAAGCACCGGCUAACUUCGUGCCAGCAGCCGCGGUAAUACGAAGGGUGCAAGCGUUAAUCGGAAUUACUGGGCGUAAAGCGCGCGUAGGUGGUUCAGCAAGUUGGAUGUGAAAUCCCCGGGCUCAACCUGGGAACUGCAUCCAAAACUACUGAGCUAGAGUACGGUAGAGGGUGGUGGAAUUUCCUGUGUAGCGGUGAAAUGCGUAGAUAUAGGAAGGAACACCAGUGGCGAAGGCGACCACCUGGACUGAUACUGACACUGAGUGCGAAAGCCC